Molecule: long non-coding RNA, 133 nt
Organism: Vigna radiata var. radiata (mung bean)
Lineage: Eukaryota; Viridiplantae; Streptophyta; Magnoliopsida; Fabales; Fabaceae
Exons: 3
Source: RefSeq, a predicted model, not a curated record
AUAUUGGAAGGCUAGAAAAUGAUCACAAGAAAGCUAGACUUUUAGCUGAUGGAUUGGGGGAACUUAAAGGACUGAGAGUGGACACCCUUGCUGGGGAGACCAAUAUAGUAUUCAUUGACAUUGAAGAUGGUAU